AUCCACCACUCUGGCUCUAACAGCCACGACCCUAACACUGGUAGGUGCUAACUGUCUAGCAGACUCUCUCCUAUAAAUGGGGAGAGAAAGGAAAAAACAAGGAUUAUGUUCUUCUUCUCAACUCGAGAAUCUUGUUCUCAUCAUUUUCUUCUAUUGUUCUUCCUCUUCGACUGCCACUGACUUAACUAUCAGAGGGUAUCCCAUCAAAGAACCCCCACCUUAUUCUCCG
This 229-nucleotide long non-coding RNA is filed under the name Elaeis guineensis (African oil palm). Its description in RNAcentral is "long non-coding RNA (EGUI_LNC049715)". The record is from RNAcentral. Lineage: Eukaryota; Viridiplantae; Streptophyta; Magnoliopsida; Arecales; Arecaceae.